CGGGCAACCAAUGGUUGUUGGACUGGAAAAUCCAAGUGGAUUGUCUUGCACUGCGCCCAGCUCCUGUGGUUUCCUUUGGAUGGAUGAAAAUAACACGCCCGCCAAUUUCAGCACCUUCUCCGGAUCCAAAAUACCAGAGUUGAAAGGGGAUGUUGAAUCACGUUGCGUUGGAAUCACGGACUCUGGGAACUUUGAAACCGUCCUUUGCUCUGAUGAGAUGACCUCGUUGUGUCAACUCCAAUGCCCAAGAGGUAUUUAUUUAACUUCAAACGUCGAAUGACUCCCUUACUACCAUUUUAUGUAAAACCUUUCAGGGGUGGAUACUCAAUUUACUGACUGCUUGACUUUGGAACACUUUGGUCCAGAUCAUGUUUUGGUAGCAAGUAAAUGCACGAUACAAGCUGGAUUUGUUUGUUCCAAAGAUCAAGACGUGAAGCCAACUCUGCUGGAAAAUAUGGCCGAACCUGUGGUCUUGGCGCCACUGAACAAGGCUCUAGGUUCGAAAGAUAUUUCCAAACAGGGAAUUGUUCUCGAAGACCAUUUUGUGGGCUAUGCUUCCCUUUGGGCAAAGAGCCGAUUGAUCGGAUAUCCAAUGUUGGGUGGGCAAUCCAUGAGUGGAUUAAGCUACAUUGAGAUCAAAUCAGGUCCAGAGAAGUUCGUGUCUGGAACAGGAUUGACAGUCAUGUUUUGGCUCAAAAUUGAUCAAAGCCCAAUGGACAAUUUCCCUUUACUGGACUUUCGAAACCCAAAAAAUCCCAGGAAUGGGUUCAUGUUGGGCUGGAGCGAGGGCAACCUCGAAGUCAUUUCAAAAGGGGAGGUUGUUUUCAAAGGGUUAAAAACAUAUCAAGUGACAAAAGCUGGCGAAUGGAACUUUGUAGCCUUCUCAUUUGAUGAAAUCAAGGAUGAAGGCACAUUCUAUAACGGAGACAAAUUUGGAUACAACCAAAACGAAAU
Long non-coding RNA from Tigriopus californicus, 954 nucleotides. RefSeq lists it as uncharacterized. The transcript is spliced from 3 exons. The record is from RefSeq and is a predicted model, not a curated record. Lineage: Eukaryota; Metazoa; Arthropoda; Copepoda; Harpacticoida; Harpacticidae.